AUUGAACGCUGGCGGCAUGCCUUACACAUGCAAGUCGAACGGUAACAGGUCUUCGGAUGCUGACGAGUGGCGAACGGGUGAGUAAUACAUCGGAACGUGCCUAGUAGUGGGGGAUAACUACUCGAAAGAGUGGCUAAUACCGCAUGAGAUCUACGGAUGAAAGCAGGGGAUCGCAAGACCUUGUGCUACUAGAGCGGCCGAUGGCAGAUUAGGUAGUUGGUGGGAUAAAAGCUUACCAAGCCGACGAUCUGUAGCUGGUCUGAGAGGACGAUCAGCCACACUGGGACUGAGACACGGCCCAGACGCCGACGGGAGGCAGCAGUGGGGAAUUUUGGACAAGGGGCGAAAGCCUGAUCCAGCAAUGCCGCGUGCAGGAUGAAGGCCUUCGGGUUGUAAACUGCUUUUGUACGGAACGAAAAGCCCCGGGUUAAUACCCUGGGGUCAUGACGGUACCGUAAGAAUAAGCACCGGCUAACUACGUGCCAGCCGCCGCCGUAA
This 498-nucleotide ribosomal RNA is filed under the name uncultured bacterium. Its description in RNAcentral is "partial 16S ribosomal RNA". It matches the Rfam family "Bacterial small subunit ribosomal RNA", at positions 30 to 523 of the family's 1533-position model. The record is from RNAcentral.